Long non-coding RNA from Sorghum bicolor (sorghum), 745 nucleotides. RefSeq lists it as uncharacterized. The transcript is spliced from 4 exons. The record is from RefSeq and is a predicted model, not a curated record. NCBI's taxonomy places the organism in Eukaryota, Viridiplantae, Streptophyta, Magnoliopsida, Poales, Poaceae.
AUAAAACUAGGAAACCCUAGCCAUCUCCACCACCAGACCGCCACCCUCUCCUUUGGCUGAGCGCUAUCUCUCCUCAGAUCCACCGUCACCUGUGUUCCUCUCGCACGAAGCAGCCUCAGCGGGCUUGGAUCUGAUGUGCUGAGGGGCAAGGCGGCGAUGGUCAUGACCAGUGGCUCUGGCGCGGGCGUCGCGCACCUAGCGGCCAGAUCCGACAGCAUGGAGGUUGACGGUGUCAGUCUUGGUUGAGCAUGGCUCGCAGGAGGCCACGCAGGCUCAAUCCGGCCAGGGACUACGAUGUGUGAACUUAUCUCAAUUGCAGACGAGUUGAUGCAGUCAAGAUCUAGCUGAUCUCUCGGUUUGUAGAAAGUGGCAGCAUCUCCUUGCUGGUGACAAACAAGACCGUGAAUAAGCAGGUCAAGCAAUUUAGGGGUCUCUUUUCAACCGAUACAAGUGCCGUAAGGAGCAAGUGCAGCAUAAUAGAUUCCCUAUCACCUCGUGAUCAAACAUAUCAAGAACAUUCAGAAGAAAAGUGCUAGUGUUGUACGAGAACAUUUGGGAGCUGGAACUUGUUUUGGUGGUUGGAACCUAUAUUAAAAUCAUUUUGUAUUUGUAUUUUUGUUGUGUUUUUUGUAUGCAAACAUGGCUGGAACAUGUAUUCUAGAACAUGUGAUUUUGUAUGGGCUUAAAUGUUAUUUAUGGCUAAAACAUUAUUUAUAUAUUAUGUUGUAUGGGUUAAUUAUUAUAA